Molecule: long non-coding RNA, 11729 nt
Filed under: Vitis vinifera (wine grape)
Lineage: Eukaryota; Viridiplantae; Streptophyta; Magnoliopsida; Vitales; Vitaceae
Description: long non-coding RNA (VVIN_LNC002295)
Source: RNAcentral
UUGUUCUUGGGUUGCUGAUCGAUGUUCCCAAAACGAAGUCCCGUCCCAACCGCAGAAGGAUGCCCAAACGAGUUGGAAGAAACUGGGGCGCCUGAGUUGGUCAUGUGCAUUGUGGUCUGGGUGUGUUGGUGCUGGAGCGGCAGCCGGGGGGACACUGGCGCAUCCUCCACACCGUACUCGAGCUCAUUCUACAAAAAAUCAUAAACAAAAGGGUGUGUUUCAUCAAAUCCCCCAGCUUUAAUACAGAGGGAAAAGGUUAACUAAUUGAAUCUUCUAUUAUUGUAUUUCUUUUUCUUAGGCUAAAUUGUAAAUGUGUAACAAAGACAGAAUGCAGGUCAUAAGCCUAAUAUUAUUCACAAUGGAUGUGGUUCUACUCUCUUUAGUGAACAAUACACGUACAAAAAAGGCAAUUCUUCAUUCCAAGAUUCGGCUCUUUUAACCCUAUAAUUACACACCAAAUUCUAAGAGUGUAAUAAAAAGUAGACUAAUUCCCAUAUUGUCUCUAGACUUCUCCACUUAUUCGAUUGACAAUAGAAUACAAAAUGAGAUAGAGUAACUUACCCGGUUAACCUCUCUCUUACAUCCCCUUUAAAUUAUAUUUGAUUAAUCUCAUGUUGAGAGAUUGAUAUAUGUUUCUCAUGGAUCAUAAAUUUCUUUCUCUCAUUUAUUCUCUUCCAUUCUCUAUUUCUUUUCAUGUUAUUCGCAAAACAAAAAAUUUUAAUUCAAGUAAAAUUUUUGGUUAAAAAGAAGAGAGAUGAAAAAAGUUUAUACAUGCAUAAUAUAUAUAUAUAUGUAUGUAUAGAUAUUGAUUUUAUAUAUUAAGAAUUAACUUCAUAAUAUAAUAUUUUUUUACUUAUAAAUUCUACAUAUUUCAAUCAUGAAUGUUAUUAAUAAACAAAUUAAAAAAUUACAUAUUAAAUAUAAAUCAUCAAAAGAUACCCAUAUAAUGCGAAAAACAUGAAAAAGAUUUCAUAUUUUUUUAAACAUCAAGAUACAAUAUAUUUUUAUUUUUAAAGAAUAGUUUCCACUCCAUUUUUAUUUCCUUCCACAAAUGAAACAUGUGUAGUAUAAAUUAUCAUAUUGGUCUUUAUUCACAAUUUUGUAUAUUAUAUAUAUGUCUACUAAACUUAUGUAUGUUUAUAGCUAUAUAUAAAUAUAUAUAUAUAUGGGUUUAUACAUGUGGGUGUGUGAAUGAAAAGUUGGAAAAUAGUCUCUACUGUUCUUUAUUGAAGAACGAUAGCUAGGGUUUCCAUUUGUCUCCCAUUCUCUGUAUUGUUUUGUUUCUCUUUCUUGGGGACUUACCUUUGUUUGUGAAUCGGAACCUAUGCUCAAUUAGCUUAAGAAUUACCCAGUAGUUUGUUUGAAUCGGGGGGGAGUUUGGGUGGGAGAGCCUAGGAUUUGUGAUUUGGGGGGUUUUGGUGUUGUGGAAGCUGAUUGGUAUCUGGGUUGGGAGGAAUCUAGGGUUUGUGAUAUGGGGUUUUGGUGUGGUUGAGGUGGGGAGGGAAAGAUUGAAUCUUGGGGAUUGUUUUUGUUGGUGGAGUUUUGAAAAUGGUGGGGAAUCAUGGAUCGGGUGUCGUCUGAUUGCUGCUUUUCAGAUGGCGAGCAACCGUCCGAUUUGAGGGGUGGGGGCUUUUGUCUGGAAACUCAGAGCUGCAAGCGGGCAGAGGCAUCCUCAGCAGCCCCUUCUUCUGGACCCACCACCCAGUCAAGCAAGCAACCUCGUAUCUCCUCUUCUUCUUCUUCUUCGACGAUCCCAGUUUCAUCGAACCCCAACGCCCACGCUGCAGUGAAAAAUUAAUUUUUGAGGGGAGCAGAGCUACACUUUGACCCAAGCCAGCACAUUGACCAGCAGAAUAUAAGGAAAUUUCCCGAAAAAUAGGCAAAAACCCGAUAUUCGCCAAUAUUUUGACGAUAACUUUGAAAAAAGGGGCGAAAUUCCUUCCAACCGAUUAUCGGUCCUUAAUGUCGUAUUCAGUUUCACUGAUAACUGAAAAUAUCGGCGAAAUUUCACCAAUAAAAAUCGACAUUUCAAUCACUGUUGAAGAAAAGCACCCAAACAAAGGGAGUCAAGAUGUGGGCAACCUACUUGCUUUGCAACCCAAAUACAUUGAAGAACAUUAUUAUACUUCCUAGGGGAAUAAGCUCUCCCUCGUCCAAAUUGACCCAAGCCAGCUCCUUAGGAAGGAAGCAAGUCAUCAAUAAGAGAAUAAAAAAUUUGGUACCCUCUCCACUCCUCACACAUGGCAACCUUGAAAGAACCCUACUUCCACACUUCCAUCACUACAAUGAAAUGAAAAGGAGAAAGAUAGAACCUUGUAUUAUGCCCUUGCAACUAUUUAAGAAACCAAACUAAGUCCUGUUAAAAAGAACAAAGUAUGUAACCCAAAAGAUACAAAUCCACAUCCAAAUGAGCUGCCUCAUAGGGGAGAUUAACUAUAAAAGGAAAUUCCAACUAUCAUGAUUGUAAGUCUUUUCAAUGAACUGCUUAUACACUAAUCCUGGUAGUCCUCUUCUCAAACAAGAACCUAAUGGCACCAUCCAAAAUUUAAUGGCCUCCACUACAGCAUCAUGUCAAUUUGUUAAAUUUGCUGAUGAGCUCCAUUAUCCUAUUAGCUAGGACCUUAGAAAGUCGAAUUUGUACCACUCCUGACUAAUGUUGAGAUACAAGACAAAAAUGAUGAAGGUAAGAUUUUAGGCCAUGUGCCAUGCCUCAACACCACCAUAUCAAAAAAAUCGGGUCAAACCAGAAUCUAUGUCACUACUUCCCUAAUAAUGGACCCUUUUCCUUUUUUUCUUUUUGAAUCAGAACCUAUCAGUAGUUUUUUAAGCACACAAAGGACCUGUCUGGAUUGGCUUCUACAAAGCCAAAAACUGAAAGAGCUUAGUUGCCUAUUUGGGCAAUUUAUUAACAUAGCUUCUGGUUUAGAAAGAGCUUAAUGUGGAAGCAAGGACAAAGUUGGUUCUUAUGAAAGCCCUCUUCAUCUUGUGCAGGAAAUUAUUAUUGAAACCUUUCAAAAUUAUGGCUUUGGAUGUGACUCAGCAUUUCAAACCAUGCAUUACACUAUGGGGUUGAUUAACCUUAAAAGAAAGAAGAAAUAACCAUCAAGAAAGUAAUAGUAUAUCAUCAUUGCAAUGACAAUGAAAAACUAUAAAGAGCAGUUAUAAAAGAAAUUUGAAAGUUAAGAUACCUGCAGGUAUGCCACAAUAUCUACGGUUGUCACUCUUGAUCCCUCUUCCUGUUGUCUCAAAACCCAUUGAUAAAGUUUCUCCUACCAAAACCAGAAGCAAAAACACACAAGCAGGGAACCCAGAAAGAGGGGGAAAAAAAAAACAAAUGGUUAGUGUUAAAUAAAUGGAUAUAAAGGAAAACCAAACAGGUUACAUCUAGCAAUAUAGAAAUAGAAGGAUAAAGGAAAAUGCUCAGUUCAGACCGAAUGGAUACCACCUUUGGCCUUUUCCAUCAUUCAUCAAUCCUACAGCCAAUAAGUUCCAGAAAGAUGAGAGGACCAAAAAAGAUCUAUGGAAAUGAUCUAGAUGUGAGAGCCACAAAACUAGGAUACAUGAUACCAUUGUUCAAUUUGAAGUCCAAAAGACCACUAAAUUUUCAAAAGGAAGAAAAUUAGACAGAUGACCUCCUGGAAAUCUGUGUUUCACUGUUUAGAGAAGUAUUGGAAAAAUUCAGAGUGAUCCACAGGUACCACAUUGAGAAAAACAAAUACUACAUGAAGAUUCAAAGAAUCUGAAGCCACCCACUAAAACAAGAGAUCGAGCCUUAGUUUAAUAACUAGGGAGUAGAGUGUCUGUAAGAUCAGGCCAUGCGGAUGUUUAGGUGGAAGUAAAUUAAAAGCUUUGAGCAUUGAUAUUGAAGUCCAGUCAAAAUCCUCAAUUAGUGAAUAAAAGUAAUAGAUUUCCCAUAAAUUGAAACACAUAAGAUAAACCCUUUUCCAAAAAGAAAGCAUGUUACCCUGUAUUUGGGGUUUGGCCCACCAUAGUGGAUAUUAGAAACAAAGAAUGAAUGCAAUAUUUGAAGUUCUACAGAGUUAAGCCCUCAAUGAGUGUUCUUAUCUGUUUAAACUUAACUGAAAUAUAGAUGAUAAUUGAGGUUGACCACAUCUUUUUGACUCCCAAUCUCUAGGCUUGGGAUUCCCAUAUUUGUAAAAUAGCACUGUGUUUUUUGGCAAUCAAUCCAUCCAUUCCCUACAUCAUCUCCCAAGAUGAGCGUACUUAUCUAAAGCUCCAUCAAGAUGAACCUUACAAAACGAAACCAUCCAGUAUGCAUAGCAUCGAUAUCCCUUUAUGAGGACAUACCCUAUAUCAAGGAACCAACCACAACCACAUGUUCCUCUGAUUGAAAUUCAUGGAAACCUUUUACAGUAGAUAUACUGGAUGAGCAGAUUUCAGAAUCUUGUAUAUGUUGCCAGGAAUUAGCUAUGAAAUUUUGAAAUAUUUUCAAAAUUUCCUUCUAAUAUGGCACAAGCAAGUAAACUCACGAACUUGAUUCUAUGAUAAGGAGCCAUAAACCCUUGAAAUACAAGGCCUCCAAUUGGUUAAAGGACCCAAUUUUGGGCUCCAUGAAACUCUAGGUUUAGUGCUCUCUUCUCUUGUAUUUCAAGGCUUAUGGCUCUUUAUCACAGACUUGAGUCCGUGAAAUCAUUGCUUUGUAACAAAAUACUGAUGUCUCCUCAGCUAACAAAUAAUAGCAAUGCAUGCUCAUUGUUGUCCAAGCUCAAAAUUUCAGAUACAUCAUAAAAGCCAAGUUCCCUCUUUAUCUUUGCAUCAUGUCCGCUUAAAGAUAAAUAGAAGCACUUCACUCUUGCUAUGUAUCCAAACUCAAAUAAGAAAUAAGCAAUCAUUAAAAGAUUUUUUAUUUCAUUUUUUUUUAUGGUCAAUUACAUGAGACGAGUUUGAAUUUUAAAAUUAACUUGCACACUUUGAGGCAUGUUAGUGGCAAACGCUCUUAACAAGGCACUUGACCUUUUUGCUAUCCUUAGAUUGAUCUCAGAAUCAAAUGUCAUCAAAUUUGUAAUCAACUAGAGAAGAGCCGUAAUGACUCUGCUCCUGAUUCAGAGUACAGUUCCGGCUUAAGUUCAAGGCAACUUGCAACAGUUUUAGGCCCUUAGCAAUGUUGAACUCCAAUGAGACUUCAUACAUAAAUUCUGACAAUUCUAAUCUAGAUUCAGAAUAUGUUACUGAGGAUGCUACACUGCAUUCCAUGUCAAAAAUUUUGUAAGAAAGUAAAAAGAGAAUUAAGACAAAAAUUACAAUGUCAAAUUAGCAUUGUACUAUAAACCCUUUGUCUCAGUAUUGGAGGUUUUAUGCCACCCAGAGGGAAUUCCAUUCCCCAUGUAUGUUAAAUAAUAAAUGUUUUAAAUGGUGUAAGUCUUCCAAGAAUGCUUAUGCACCCUCAACCUAAAUUGUUGUUCAUGAGAUGAGGACUGGUUAAACAAGGCAUCCUGCAUUUUUUUUUUGGUUCUGCUACACUUUUCCCAAACUGUCAUGGAUGUUUGGAUUUUCUUUUCUCGAAUAAGCACUGCCUUGGGUUUAUAAUUGAUCAAGAAAGUAGUGAUAACAUUCAUCAAUCUGAUGUAAGUAGUGUUAAGAAUGAGAGCACAAAUGCCUCAAGAUAAUUCUUCAAAAGGAUCAUUCUCCCAGUGGCAUUUUUCUAUUUUCUACUCUGUGAUGUGCUUCCAAUUCAAUAGUCAGUCAUAUGCCAUCACAGUUUAGACAAAGAAACAUUGAGAACUCUAUCAAAUGAACCAAAAUCAAGCAUUCCAAUUCUUGCACCAGCGGUAAUCCAUGUACAAGUAUGUGCCCUAUGAAAGAAUAAAUAAACUUCAUUAUGCUAGUAGCAACACCCUAGACCCCUUCACAAUAUGUAAACUAGAUGAACAGAUAUGAAGAAUAUUGCAAAUGUUCCCAAAUUUUGAAUUUACAUGGAAAUUUGAAACAUCGUCUAAUUUUCCAAACUUAAAACAUUGUUCAAUUAGCAUUAUCAUGGACUUGAUUGGUAAUAAGACCAAAGACUCAAGUAAAAAAGCUCAAGGGUGGGAUUAGUGUGUAAGCUAGACACAGAAAAAGCUUAAGAUCAUGUAAAUUGGAGGUUCCUUCUUUCAAUCAUGGAAAAAACGGGUGGAAGGAAAGGAAAAGGGGGGUUGGUGUUCUUGAGCUUUGAGGGAAGGUUAUGGAAGGAAGGCUAUUAGGAGGGUGAGAUUUUAGGAGGAUAGGUGGUGGUGUGAGGAUUCCUUGGAUAAGGCUUUCCCAAAGUUGCUCUCAAUAGCCUCUACUAAAGAUGCUUGGGUAGACUACAUGUGGGAGUAGUUUGGGGAAGUAGGUUGUUCAAUACUAAUGUUCACAAGACAGAAUAAUGAUUGGGAAAUGAAAAAGGUGGGAGAUUUUUUCAAAAGAUAGCAAAGGCAAGCGAUUAGAAAGGGUGUUUAGGAUGUCAUGACUUGGCAAGUGUCAAAGGGAGGUACCUUUACGGUUAAAUCAUUUUACUCCUCCUUAGCAUGUUGCAAUCUGAAGGUGUUCCCUCAAGCAUUGUGUGGAACCCUUAGGUCUCGAGGAGGGUUAAUUUUUUGGCUUGGGAAGUUGUAUGGAAGAAUUAUAAUUCUAGAUCAGCUAAAAAGGAAGGGUUGGUGUUUACCGAGUAGGUAUUAUUUAUGUAAAGAAGAGGAGGCAUUGGCAAAUCAUAUACUCCUUCACUACCCCAAGGUAGCCAUGCUUUGGCAACUUAUUUUUGCUCUUUUUGGUGUUCAGUGCAUGAUGUCAUCUUCAAUCAAGGAUGCCCUCCUUUAGCUAGUAUGGUGCCUUCGUAGGGAAGAAAAAGAAGAAGGUGUGGAAAGCAACUUCUUUGUACUUAUUUUGGAUCUUAUGGAAUGAGAGAAAUUGAAGAGCUUUUGAUGAUUCUGAUUUAGCGAACCAAACUAUUUUACGGUCCUUUAUGUGCAUGUUCUUGGAAUGGGUCAAAGUGCAUUUAGGUUUUAAUUCAACGUCUUUAUUUGAUUUUAUUAAUUGGUUGAGCUACAAGUGAGGGAAAGGUGUUUUUUGUGUAUCUCUCUUCUUUUUUGGCCUUAGGUGCCUUGAUACACGUAUAUUUUUGGGCGCCCUUCUUUAGACACUGUUAAUACAAUUGCUUUUACCUAUCAAAAUAAUAAUAAUAAUAAUAAUAAUAAUAAUGGAAAAAAUGGGUUUUGGACCAAGAUGGAUAAGGUGGAUUUGUUGGUUUUUUCCCCUUAUUUGUUUGUUCUAGUUAUGAUGGCUUUGAGCUGCCUAAUCUCUAAGACAACGCAAGAAGAGUCUUUUUAAGUGGCUUUAAGGUUGAGGGCAGGGGGAGUCGGAUUUGAAGUCUUGCACCUUUUGCUUGCAAGUGAUACCUUGUUUUUUUCCUAAAGCCAAUGUUGAGCAAAUGAAAUAUUGGAAAAGAGGCAUGUUAUGUUUUAAGCUUUUAUCAAGAUUGAAAGUUAAAUAGCAAAAGAGCGAGAUAGUUCUGACUCGAGAAGUGGAAGAUUUGGACAUUUUGGAAUCUUUGUUUGGGUGCAAGGUUGGGAGCUCCCUUCCAUCUAUCUUAGGUUUCCUUUGGGAGCAUCUCAUAAGUCUUGUGUAGUGUGAGAUUCAGAUAAAAAGAGGUUCAAAAGGAGGUUAACCCCUUGGAAGAAAGGGUACUUAUCAAAGGUAGGGAGAUUAAUCCUCAUAAAAAAUACUCUCACAAGCCUUCCCAUAUAUUUCAUAGCCCAUUUUGUGAUGCCCAAGAAAAAGAGAAGAUUAGAAAAAUAUCGAAUUUCUUGUGGGAGAGUCGUUCUGAGGAUAGAAAAUUGCAUCUCAUGAAUUGGAGAACAAUAUGUAAGAUAAGAUGAAUGGAGGAUUCAGAAUUAGAAAGUUGCAUGUUUCUAAUAGAGCUUUGUUAGGCAAAUGGUUGUGGAGAUAUGCCCUUGGGUAUAACUACCUGUGGAGAAAAAAUAAUCUAGGGCAAAUAUGGAAAGGUGGGGAUGGAUGAUGGUGCACUCUAGAGGUGACAGAGGCUUUUAGUAUGCGUUUAUGGAAAGCAAUUAGAAAAGGAUGAGAGAAAUUCAGCCUUAGAAACUCUAUUUUGGUUAGGAAUGGCCUUAGCACCAAAUUCUCGUUGGAUAGAUGGGUAGGCGAGCGUGCUCUAAAAGAGUUGUUCCCUCAGAUGUUCAUGAUUGACUCUAAUAGGAAUGCAACAGUACCUCACUUUUGGGUGGCAAUGGAGGAAGAAAGCUCUCGGUCCCUCCCUUUUAAAAGAUAUUUUCAAAGUUGGGAGUUUGAAGUUGUGAUGCAUGGGGUAAGAUCCAAACCAUUGUUGUUCUUAUGAGGAGAGGAUGACUGAUCACCAACGAGUAUAGCCUUUGUAAAUUCGGUGAGGAAUUGGCAAACCACAUUCUUAUCCAUUGUGAUAGAACCAGAAAGUUGUAGAACAUGUUAGCAAUUUUCAGGCUACAUGAGAGUUCACAGAUUCUAUGAAAGAACUGUUAUGAGUUGGAAGGUGUAGGGCAUGGACAAAAGACAGAGGAGGAUGGCUCUUCUUUGUUUGUUUUGGUUUGUGUGGCAUGAAAAAAAAUAGAAGGAUCUUCAGCGGGGAAGAGCUCAACAGCCAAAAGCUGAAAGAGAUCCUUAUUAGGUCUCUUAUGGAAUAGUAUAUAGCUCUAUAGGAGAACUAUUGGGUUUUAUUGAUAACUUGAUCUGUAGAUAGUGGUUUUUUCUUGUUCUUGUCUUUAGUGCUGAUUCAUUCUUAUCAAACCACCCCCCAUCCCACAAAACAAAAAAAAAAAAAAUCAUGGACUUGAAUGUUAAAUAAGGAACCAUAAACCCUUGAAAUAAGAGACUUCUAUUAGUUAAAUGAUAUACCGUGCUACUAUGUGACCAUAGACCCAAUAUUUGCUUGUCUUUUUUUUUUUUUUUGAUAAAUAAAGAGAUUGUAUUAAAAACCACCAAAGCAAUGGCUAAAAGUACAAGAAGGAGAAAAGAAAAAGAAAGAAAAACGCCCCACGCUCCCUAGCAGAAAGCCAAGGAUCGAAGAGCAACCCUACCCACACCCUUAACGGGAAGCCACCCACCCAACAAAAUCAACUAAGGUCGAGGGACCAUCUUUUAUAGACCUCUUUGUCUCCAACCAAAGAAAAUAAACAAAAGAAGCCUUAAGUCUUUGGAUUGACAGCUCCUCUUCCUCAAAAGCAACUUUGUUCCUUGUCUUCCAAACCGUCCAAAAAAGGCACAAAGGACUUGCUUUCCAAACACCCUUCCUCUUCUUUCCCACAAAAGACCCAUUCCACCCCGAAAGCGUCUCCUUAACCGUGGCUGGCAGCACCCACUGCACCCUGAACAUUGAGAAAAGCAGCACCCAAAGAGUUCUUGUCUUAUCACAAUGGAGAAGAAUGUGAUCAAUUGAUUCUUCAUGUCUUUGACAAACGUAACAUCUGUUCGCUAGAGCCCAACCUCUCCUUUGAAGCUGAUCCAAGGUGAGAGUCUUUCCCCACGUUGCUUCCCACCCAAAAAAACUCACUCUAGGCUGCACCGUAACUUUCCAAAUAGCCGACGAAGGGAAGGAGAUUGGAUGGCCUGAUACUAAUGAUUUGUAGAGAGACUUAACCGAAAACUUCCCACAGUUAGUCUCUCUCCAAAUCACCCUAUCAUCCACCCCUUGCUGAAUUUGCUUCCUAUUUAAGGCCACAAAAAAACUGCACACCCCUUCCAACUCCCAAUCAUUAAACGGGCUAGAAAACAACGGGCUCCAACUUCCCCCACCNNNNNNNNNNNNNNNNNNNNNNNNNNNNNNNNNNNNNNNNNNNNNNNNNNNNNNNNNNNNNNNNNNNNNNNNNNNNNNNNNNNNNNNNNNNNNNNNNNNNGGGGCUCCAAUUUCCCCCCCCCUCAUUGCCCCUUAAAAAACCCUUAACCCAAGCAUCCUGGGAAACCCCCAAUGCAAAUAAAGAGGGAAAAGAAGCCCAAGGGGGUUCUUCCCCCCCCCAAAUUUUUUUCCAAAAUUUUUUCCUUUUCCCUUUCCCCCCAAAGAAAAAAAGCCUAUUUUUCAAAAUUUCCCUUUUUUUCCUAAGGGUUUUCCGCAAUCCCCCCCCGGGCCCCCCCCCCCCCCCCUUUUUGCUUCCUUUGAACUCCAUCCCCCUUGCUCCUCCCCAUAUUUUCCCCUAAUCACUUGGUUCUAAAAAGCCUCUCUCUCAAUAGAAAAUCUCCAACUCCAUUUACAUAAAAGAGCCUUAUUGAGGAUAGAAAGAUUCUUGACCCCCAACCCCCCAUUAUCCUUCUCAAGGCAAACCAACUCCCACCUAACAAGAUGAAUCUUCCUCUCAAGAGGCAGCCCCCCCCCCUUGCUUGUCUUUUAUUUCAAAUAUAUAGCGUUCCUUAUCACGAACUCAAGCCUAUGAGACUUAAGUGUACCAGAAAUUCACUUGUUUUCCUUCUGCUAAAAACAAUUCAUGAUUUGGCCCUUCUAAUUUGCUUGACAUUGUCAAACAUGCCAUUACACUUUCCAACCUUUACCACGUACUCAACCACCAAUCAUAGAGGAUUGUCCCUCCAAUAAUCCAAUAGGUUAGAAAUAAAAUAGGUGUGUGGAAUAGAUAAAACAUAAAAAAAUUUAAAAAUAAAGAGCAAAGAUACAUUUCCAAUUGUUCAUCCUCGUAACAGCCUUGAACAUUAGAUAGGAAUCCCUAAAUUAAGAGAGAGAAAGAAUAUCGAUACUGCACAACAAAGGAGAAGCACCACAUAGUCUCCAGGAUCCUUUUUGGGAGAAAAAAAGGGAAACCCAUUAAAGUGAGAGUUAACCAUAAAAUCAGUAUGACUACUAGUUAUCUACCAUAAUAAAAAUUUAAAAAAAAAAAAAAUCCUUAGUUAAUCUGAGUAGGACUGAUUAAAUGAUAGGUCAAAAGGGUACGAAUCAGAAAUCCUGACAAAGAAGUUUACCAAAAAAAUUUCCCUGAAGCCAAUAAUUGAAUCCAAUUUUUCCUUCAAACUGUUUUAGUUAUCCACGCAGAGUACGCAAAAGUUAGUUGUAUAAAUUCUUAUUGAAUUUAUCACGUUCAAAUUGCCAUUUUUCCAUUGGGCUUCUCUAAAAUUUUCUUAAAGAGGCCGUUAUCUAAGAAUCAGGAAUUUCACGGCCGUUAUCCUACUUCCAAUCAAUGUAGAAGUGAAAUUAGUUCAAACAAAAUAAAAAAACGUUUCGUUCUGGGGAAAAUAUAGGGGGGGGAAGGGAAUAUUGAGGAAGUAAGGCAAGCAAACAAAAAAGAUAACGCCUAACUCCACAACCACUACACGCCAUGUUUGGUCGAUGAGAAAAAGCAUGAAAAUGAAGGAAAACAGAUGGGCUUUUCUUCCAUUUCAAAAAAACAGAUCCUCCACCCAAAUCAAACAAACCCAGCAACCAAAUUCCAAAACUUUCCCCUCCUUUCCCUCAUUUUCUCACCGAGAAUCCAACCAAAACAACAAAGAACACCCAAACCCGAACAAAUUCACGAACCAAAACGCAUUCCAGAUAAAUCUCAUCAGAUCAAAACACCAAAAAGAGGGAAGAGAGCUCAUACCAGCGCGUGACGCUCACCGGCUUGGAAAGACAAACGUUGCUGGUUCAUGGCCUGCGUGUAGAGCUGCGAAAGCGAGUUGGCAGCACUGCAGAAGGAGGUAUACAUGGUGCGAUCAACUUCGUCGAGGCGCGUAGCGUCAGAUUUCCUCUUCUUCGCCAUGGAAAUCGGAACCCUAGACGCUUC